AAAUCGUAUCAGACACAGUCUGGAAACAUGUGUUGAUAAAAAUGACGAGCUCCACGUUAAUGGCUGUUCUUAUAAUUGGAUUGCUUCAAGUAUGCACAGCCAAUCCGCUUUCUUCACAAGAAGAAAAAGAUCCUGAUUUUUCAGAGGCAGAAAAGAGAUCCAGCGAAACUAUUUACGGCAGAUCGUUUAGCUCGCGCAAAAAAUGCUGGAGUAUCUCAGUUGGUUGGAUGGAAGUCUUUCGGUGUGGCGCUUGAUCAAGUGAUGAAAUUGGAUGCAUUUUCCAGUGACCCAACAUUAGGGGUCUUCAAAAAUGCGGUUGGUACACGGACGUCAAAAUUGUUUCAUUUUCAUUAUUUUUUCGUUGCAAGGCUAAAUAUUGCGAAAUUUUCAAUCACACACAGAAUGACAUCUUAUUCUAAUUAUACCAAAACUCAGGAAGCGAACCUUCAGAAUUUAAUGGAAUCAGCAUAACUUAUAUGCCGAAGAAAGAUUCGGUUUCCUUUAUUCGUUACACGUUCUGUGACUUCGUUAGUGACCCGUAUUCGGCUUCAUUUGGCCCAAAUUUUGUUCCUAGCAUAAAACUUCGAUUGUUAAAAAUGUACGAUAGAACUUAUUCAGGCUUAUACCGUGUUAACCUUGCUAAACGAAUGCUGCAUAGGUACAGGCGCCAGAAUUUUACAUGAUAAAUAUGUCACUGGAUUACGCGAUGAUGAAUUUAACGAAUUCGAACAACAAUGGAACCACUUAGCAAAUACAAAUGAAGUGGAAUCAAUUAAAUAUUUGUGCGAUUUCCUGAAUUCAACGAAUACAUUCGACGACAACCAGUGUAAGAAAAUUGUUACAGACGUUGACAGUAAAUAGUAAAUCAUUCCGUGUUUGUAUUU
Long non-coding RNA from Bradysia coprophila, 884 nucleotides. Lineage: Eukaryota; Metazoa; Arthropoda; Insecta; Diptera; Sciaridae. The record is from RefSeq and is a predicted model, not a curated record.